UGGGGAAUCUUGCGCAAUGGGCGAAAGCCUGACGCAGCCAUGCCGCGUGAAUGAUGAAGGUCUUAGGAUUGUAAAAUUCUUUCACCGGGGACGAUAAUGACGGUACCCGGAGAAGAAGCCCCGGCUAACUUCGUGCCAGCAGCCGCGGUAAUACGAAGCGGGCUAGCGUUGCUCGGAAUUACUGGGCGUAAAGGGCGCGUAGGCGGAUCGUUAAGUCAGAGGUGAAAUCCCAGGGCUCAACCCCGGAACUGCCUUUGAUACUGGCGAUCUUGAGUAUGAGAGAGGUAUGUGGAACUCCGAGUGUAGAGGUGAAAUUCGUAGAUAUUCGGAAGAACACCAGUGGCGAAGGCGACAUACUGGCUCAUUACUGACGCUGAGGCGCGAAAGCGUGGGGAGCAAACAGG
RNAcentral lists this ribosomal RNA (404 nucleotides) under bacterium. RNAcentral's name for it is "partial 16S ribosomal RNA". It matches the Rfam family "Bacterial small subunit ribosomal RNA", at positions 355 to 776 of the family's 1533-position model. The record is from RNAcentral.